RNAcentral lists this small nuclear RNA (103 nucleotides) under Phascolarctos cinereus (koala). The record is from RNAcentral. Lineage: Eukaryota; Metazoa; Chordata; Mammalia; Diprotodontia; Phascolarctidae.
GUGCUUGCCUAAGCAGCACACACAUUAAAAUUGAAAUGAUAUAGAGAUUAGCAUGGCCCUUGUGAAAAGAUGAUAUAAAAAUUUUGAAGCAUUUCACAUUUUU